UAUUUAGGAAACUGAAGUGUUCUUUUACAAUGAAUUAGUGCUGUAAUUAUAUUUAAGUAG
Molecule: transfer RNA, 60 nt
Filed under: Aposthonia japonica
Lineage: Eukaryota; Metazoa; Arthropoda; Insecta; Embioptera; Oligotomidae
Description: tRNA-Val
Source: RNAcentral